This is a non-coding RNA of Pelobates cultripes (western spadefoot toad), 488 nucleotides long. The record is from the annotation of a GenBank genome assembly. NCBI's taxonomy places the organism in Eukaryota, Metazoa, Chordata, Amphibia, Anura, Pelobatidae.
GUCCUUAAGGGGUUAAACCAAUCCCCCCGGCAAUUAGUAAAUGGAAUUCUGAUUUGCAAAAGGAUAUAACUAUGAAAGAAUGGAAUAAUUCCCUUAAUACAUUAUACAAAGCUUGUCAUUGCUUAAAUAUACAGGAUGGUAUAGAACACCUCAAAAGAUUGCAAAAAUGUAUCCUACAUCGCCAUCUAAUUUAGACCCAUUAUUCUUCAUAUUUUAAUGGCUGUGAAAACCACAAAAGCCAGAAAUUGGAAAUCCACCAAUAUAGAUAAUUGGUGUAAGAUUUAUGCCCAAAGUAUUGUACAAUGUAAAAUGGAAAGAGCCAUUGCCAAUUUUGCACCAAAAAUGGGCAACCACUAUAGUUACUGGGACAGAUGGGUAAAGAAAAUUGGAUCUAAAUAGUAAAUUUCUUAUGUGUUUAGUUAAUUAUCUCUUCGUGUCUUUCUUGUGCUAGAUAUUUGUUUUACUUUUUUUCCUUUUGCUAAAGAGUU